RNAcentral lists this ribosomal RNA (470 nucleotides) under uncultured bacterium. RNAcentral describes it as "partial 16S ribosomal RNA". It matches the Rfam family "Bacterial small subunit ribosomal RNA", at positions 28 to 507 of the family's 1533-position model. The record is from RNAcentral.
GACGAACGCUGGCGGCGUGCUUAACACAUGCAAGUCGAACGCUGAAGCACCAGCUUGCUGGUGUGGAUGAGUGGCGAACGGGUGAGUAAUACGUGAGUAACCUGCCCUUGACUCUGGGAUAAGCCCGGGAAACUGGGUCUAAUACUGGAUGCUACAUGUCACCGCAUGGUGGUGUGUGGAAAGGGUUUACUGGUCUUGGAUGGGCUCACGGCCUAUCAGCUUGUUGGUGAGGUAAUGGCUCACCAAGGCGACGACGGGUAGCCGGCCUGAGAGGGUGACCGGCAACACUGGGACUGAGACACGGCCCAGACUCCUACGGGAGGGAGAAGUGGGGAAGAUUGAACAAGGGGCGAAAGCCUGAUGCAGCGACGCCGCGGGAGGGAGGACGGCCUUCGGGUUGGAAACCUCUUUCAGCAGGGAAGAAGCCACAAGUGACGGUACCUGCAGAAGAAGCGCCGGCUAACUACGUG